UACGUAGGGGGCAAGCGUUGUCCGGAAUUAUUGGGCGUAAAGCGCGCGCAGGCGGUGAUGUAAGUUGGGUGUUUAAACCUAGGGCUCAACCUUGGGACGCAUCCAAAACUGCAUGACUUGAGUACAGAAGAGGGAAGUGGAAUUCCACGUGUAGCGGUGAAAUGCGUAGAUAUGUGGAGGAACACCAGUGGCGAAGGCGACUUUCUGGGCUGUAACUGACGCUGAGGCGCGAAAGCGUGGGGAGCAAACAGG
RNAcentral lists this ribosomal RNA (252 nucleotides) under uncultured bacterium. Its description in RNAcentral is "partial 16S ribosomal RNA". It matches the Rfam family "Bacterial small subunit ribosomal RNA", at positions 524 to 776 of the family's 1533-position model. The record is from RNAcentral.